RNAcentral lists this ribosomal RNA (600 nucleotides) under Scarelus rufus. RNAcentral's name for it is "partial 16S ribosomal RNA". The stretch from base 378 to 536 matches the Rfam family "Bacterial large subunit ribosomal RNA", at positions 2473 to 2632 of the family's 2925-position model. Lineage: Eukaryota; Metazoa; Arthropoda; Insecta; Coleoptera; Lycidae. The record is from RNAcentral.
CAUGUCUUUUUGAUAAUAAUUUAAAGUCUAAUCUGCUCAAUGAAUAAUUAAAUGGCCGCAGUAUUUUAACUGUGCGAAGGUAGCAUAAUAAUUAGCUUUUUAAAUGGGGGAUUGUAUGAAUGAUUGGACGAGAAAAUUUCUGUCUUAAUUUAAUUUAUUUUUGAAUUUUAUUUUUAAGUUAAAAAGCUUAAAUAAUUUUAAAAGACGAGAAGACCCUAUAGAGUUUUAUAUUUAAGAUUGAUUUGACUUUAGAAAUUUAAUUAGAUUUUAAAUAUUUAGUUGGGGUGACUAAAAGAUUAAAUAAAUUCUUUUUUUACUAAUUAAUGAUUAUUAAAUUUAAAAUGUAUAUUUUUAAAUUAAAAAUAAAUUACCUUAGGGAUAACAGCGUAAUAUUUCUUAAAAGUUCUUAUUGAAAGAAAUUUUUGCGACCUCGAUGUUGGAUUAAAAUUUAUUUUUGGCGCAGUAGCUAAAAAAUUAGGUCUGUUCGACCUUUAAAAUUUUACAUGAUCUGAGUUUAGACCGGUGUGAACCAGGUUGGAUUCUAUCUUUAAUUUUCUUUUUUAUUUUAGUACGAAAGGACCAAGUAAAUUUUAUAUAUUA